Lotus japonicus is the source of this 865-nucleotide long non-coding RNA. RefSeq lists it as uncharacterized. Lineage: Eukaryota; Viridiplantae; Streptophyta; Magnoliopsida; Fabales; Fabaceae. The transcript is spliced from 2 exons. The record is from RefSeq and is a predicted model, not a curated record.
UUUCGGUUUCGAAAACUUGUCUUUUCGUACCUGAUUGUCCUAUUCUGAAGCUUUAAUGCUUUGUCUAUCGUUUAUGUAUUGUUUUGCGAUCGAACUAAUCGAUUUUGUUUGAAUUCUGCUUUGUUUUUCUCCGAGGUUCAGUUGAAGGAACUUUGGAAGACUCAGAGCAAUUGUUUGAGGAGAACUUUGUUUGCGAAGCUGGAACAGCUCGAGAUGUCGAUGGCCGACUGGUGUUCGAUGGUCUCUCCCUCGGGGGGGAUCAGAUAUGAGCUUGUGGAUCGGGAUGCCCCCACCGCUUGGGUGAUCGAUGUUGUGGGUCAUCGAGCGACGUACCGGGGAAGGGUCAUGGAGGACCGGACUGACGAGUGUGAACAUCUGACGAAAGGAGUUCUACGACGCAUGGAGCUGAGCUUCAACUUGCCGUCUUCAGUUCGCCGAGGACUCGGAUGUGUGAGCAGUUAUGGGUUGGUAGAGUUAGGCAGGUGUCAUAUUUGUGUAGAGCUCUGAUUCGUUUUGCUUUUGGGACGGGGUAGGUUCCCGACGCAUGGCUUUUGUGUGGUUCUCUUAUUGAGGGAUCACAGUGAGUCAGUCGGACUAUAGGGGUCUUUGCUUAGGCCAUUUUGAGGCCGACUUUCUCCCAGUGGAUUGUAAUUAUAACCUUUUCACUCACACUUCUGGAUCUGUAACUAUUUGCCUACGGGCACACUACUUUGGAGUCACUGCGAGUGCGCGUGACAUGGGAGUGCAGCUGAGGCUGUACAUGUGUAUAUAUUUGUGUGUUGGUUAGUUUAGUGGUUGGGUUUUGUCUUUAUUUUCUAUUGCUUGAUUUAAAAGGUAUCAAACGAAAAAAAAUUACCUGUUUUCA